RNAcentral lists this ribosomal RNA (433 nucleotides) under uncultured bacterium. RNAcentral's name for it is "partial 16S ribosomal RNA". It matches the Rfam family "Bacterial small subunit ribosomal RNA", at positions 29 to 507 of the family's 1533-position model. The record is from RNAcentral.
AGCGAACGCUGGCGGCAGGCUUAACACAUGCAAGUCGAGCGGGCACUUCGGUGUCAGCGGCAGACGGGUGAGUAACACGUGGGAACGUACCCUUUGGUUCGGAAUAACGCUGGGAAACUAGCGCUAAUACCGGAUACGCCCUUUUGGGGAAAGGCUUGCUGCCGAAGGAUCGGCCCGCGUCUGAUUAGCUAGUUGGUGGGGUAAUGGCCUACCAAGGCGACGAUCAGUAGCUGGUCUGAGAGGAUGAUCAGCCACACUGGGACUGAGACACGGCCCAGACUCCUACGGGAGGCCGCAGUGGGGAAUAUUGGACAAUGGGCGCAAGCCUGAUCCAGCCAUGCCGCGUGAGUGAUGAAGGCCUUAGGGUUGUAAAGCUCUUUUGUCCGGGACGAUAAUGACGGUACCGGAAGAAUAAGCCCCGGCUAACUUCGUG